CAUUGAGAGAGCUGAUGGUGGAUACUGACAAAUUACCCAGGUGUUGUGUGUCAGUGUUUAUAAAUCAGGCUGCGUGAGAAGGAAACACUUCCAAAGUGGGAAGAAAGGUGCGGUGAACCUGUGAGUACACAACGUUUCAGGCGUUUCCUGGCUGUGGUGAAGAAGAUAGAUAAGACCGUGGCAGCGGGGAAAAAGUAUCUGGCAACGGAGCCGGAGCUCCUCCAGGACAAAUAACAGCGCGAGUUCAUCCAGGCGCAAAUGAAUCAUCAUGACUUGACAAAAAGGACGGAUGUGCCGAUUCCCCAGAAGGGCAGGUACCUCUGAUUUCAGAUGAAAACAAAAACAUAACUUUAGAGGCAUGUUUUCGGAGAGAAUUUCAUUUGCUGGUCUUCCUCCUCAUUUCGAGCACUUAAAUGGCGAUGGCAACGUUCCAUAGUGAAGACACACUAAACAGAAGUUGCAGCGGAGCCAAAAGGGGAAGGACAACGCCUGACGUGACACUCGGCCUCUAGAGGUCACCGCAUGUCACCCGGUCUGACAUGCACAUCUCAGGAUGUUCUGUUAGCAGCGACUAAAGCUCAUAGCAGCAAGGUGCCGUGGUAACGGGCCGGCACAACCCGGGCUGGUAAUGUUCUAACAGGGAGAGCCCCCUAGUGCUCGACGGGAGACGUCCCGUUUAACAGCUUCAACUCCACAAGUGUGCUGCUGAGUGGACUCAUGGAGUGGAACGUUAAAAACAGCCGAGCUCCCCGACUGCUACGAAGCCCUGUUCUGUAACGUCACAGCUGUCACUCGACCAACACAACAGCUUCUAUUUACAGUCCGCACUAAGCCUGCCCAGAGAGCCCGGCUGGCAACCCCCCCCCCCCCCCCCAUUCAUAUAAGGCGAGACGUCUAUUUCAGGUGAAUGUAUAUUUCUUAAAUGAGAUUUGUUACUGAUUUGCGAAG
Gasterosteus aculeatus aculeatus (three-spined stickleback) is the source of this 948-nucleotide long non-coding RNA. Lineage: Eukaryota; Metazoa; Chordata; Actinopteri; Perciformes; Gasterosteidae. The record is from Ensembl.